UUGAAUUGGCUUAUCUUAAAAACAGUGACAAACUUGAAAAUUCAGUACUAUUGCCUGUAGCUGCUCCUUUGUUCAUUGCUUGUACAGAGGAAAAGAAGAAGCAGUUAUCAACUUACAAUAUGGAGAAUUUGGUCCCUCAUGAAGUCGCAUUACUAACAAGACUUAGUGAGAAGGGUGACUAUAUUCUGUCCGUAAAUGUAUCAUCAG
Amphimedon queenslandica is the source of this 207-nucleotide long non-coding RNA. RefSeq lists it as uncharacterized. The transcript is spliced from 2 exons. The record is from RefSeq and is a predicted model, not a curated record. NCBI's taxonomy places the organism in Eukaryota, Metazoa, Porifera, Demospongiae, Haplosclerida, Niphatidae.